CCUACGGGGGGCAGCAGUGGGGAAUAUUGGACAAUGGGGGGAACCCUGAUCCAGCCAUGCCGCGUGUGUGAAGAAGGCCCUCGGGUUGUAAAGCACUUUCAGUGAGGAAGAACGCCUGGUGGUUAAUACCCAUCAGGAAAGACAUCACUCACAGAAGAAGCACCGGCUAACUCCGUGCCAGCAGCCGCGGUAAUACGGAGGGUGCGAGCGUUAAUCGGAAUUACUGGGCGUAAAGCGCGCGUAGGUGGCUUGAUAAGCCGGUUGUGAAAGCCCCGGGCUCAACCUGGGAACGGCAUCCGGAACUGUCAAGCUAGAGUGCAGGAGAGGAAGGUAGAAUUCCCGGUGUAGCGGUGAAAUGCGUAGAGAUCGGGAGGAAUACCAGUGGCGAAGGCGGCCUUCUGGACUGACACUGACACUGAGGUACGAAAGCGUGGGUAGCAAACAGGAUUAGAUACCCCUGUAGUC
This 465-nucleotide ribosomal RNA is filed under the name Vreelandella stevensii. RNAcentral describes it as "partial 16S ribosomal RNA". It matches the Rfam family "Bacterial small subunit ribosomal RNA", at positions 338 to 795 of the family's 1533-position model. Lineage: Bacteria; Pseudomonadati; Pseudomonadota; Gammaproteobacteria; Oceanospirillales; Halomonadaceae. The record is from RNAcentral.